Molecule: non-coding RNA, 136 nt
Organism: Brachypodium distachyon (stiff brome)
Lineage: Eukaryota; Viridiplantae; Streptophyta; Magnoliopsida; Poales; Poaceae
Source: Rfam
CAAGUACUCCCUCCGUCCAACAAAAAAUGUCUCAAGUUUUUCAAAAUUUGGAUAUAUCUAGACAUAACUUGAGUGUAUAGAUGCAUUCAAAUUUAAUCAAAGUUGAGACAUCCUUUGUUGGAUGGAGGAAUAAAGC